Long non-coding RNA from Pseudopipra pipra, 2070 nucleotides. RefSeq lists it as uncharacterized. Lineage: Eukaryota; Metazoa; Chordata; Aves; Passeriformes; Pipridae. The record is from RefSeq and is a predicted model, not a curated record. The transcript has 2 exons.
UCCUGUGGGGGUUACAGACAGUUCCUGGUUUCUGGCACGUGAGGCAGAUCCAGAACCAAGCACAGAGCUGCAGCUCUGAUCUGGUCACUGCCCUCUGCUGCCACGUUAACAACACAUCUAGUGAGGAGCUUCCAACUAGAUACACAGCAAUAUCCCCUCCUGCCACAUAACAACCCAGGAUCUUACUUAGGACUGAGGAUUCGGCCACAGCACCAGAUCUGACCGGUGCUCAGUGUUCUCAAGGCCCAGAGUGCUCCAUUCACAUUACUCACAUCAUCAGCUGCUGCCCCGUCCUGACCUCCGCUCUCCAGGAAUUUUUUGAAGCCUUCUAACGUCCUCUCCCCGUUAUAGUCAAUGACCUACAGAGGGAAAACAUGAGGAUACUGGUUAUGGGCACUACUGACCCACGCCCCUGGAGAGGAGAAUUCUCUUUCUGAGCAACAGUGAACAUGCCAAGCAAAAGGGAAUUGAAAAAUUCACCUUCACCCAUAUGAGACGAAGGAAAACAGCUCAGCCACUAGACUUCAGAGAUCACUGCGAGGAAAGAAUAGCCUGCAGAUGAGCACACCGUCCUCUAUGCUCCCUCUUCUCCCCAUUCCCACUUCCCACCCCCCACAAAAUCUCCCUACAGCACAGCCCCCCAUAAAGGGUCUCGGGUGUCCUGUAGACUUGAUGUGUUCAAUCCCAACAGAAUGCAGAGCCCUCCCAAAGGCCUUGUCCAAGACACAACUCAAGCAGGCAGCUGAGCAUUCCCGUGCUCCCUGGCUAUGUGACCACAUGAGCUCGGCUCCUGCUUACAUUUCUGCCAGGGCCUGCAGGGAAGAACUUGAGUGUGGGGAAGCUGUGGAUUUUCACCGCCUCCACUUCAUUAGCUGUCGAGUCCAUCUUGGCAAUGACAAUGUUCUCAUGGUCCCUGUAGAUCUCUCCCAGCUUGUCCCAGAUUGGAGCCAGCUGCUUGCAGUGACCACACCAUGGGGCAUCUGUUAAUUACAGAGACAGAGCUGUACCAACAAACUAAUGAGGUACCACCCCUUCCCAGCCAGACAAUUCACACACAUCUUUGCAACCAAGGCACUGCCUUUGGGGCCUAGACUCUGCAAAAUACUUUCUCCCUAAUCAUGGUCACACAGUAUUUUGGCACUCCUUUCACACACCAGUUACUUGGAAUCAGCUGUAGGAAGAUACUCACAGAACUCUACAAAGACAUUCUUAUUCUCAUCAAAAGCUACUUCUUCAAAGUUCUUCCCAACCAGAACUUUGACAGGCUGCUUAUCCCAGUCUUCAGGAAGAUCUUGACUCAUCAGGUGGGGCUAGAAUAAGAAGUGAAAUUCAGAGAUUGUUUGCUGCUUGGACUGAACAUGUGAUCACAUGUCCUGGAAAAUCCAGGUUUAACCACCCCCCCGGCGCCUCUGCCACAGGCUGUGAGCAACCAGAUGAAUUGGUCACUUCCUCUUCUCCCACAGAAAGUCUUCUUUGCACCCUGACCCAGUGGGAAUAGCAGGUGCUGUUGUGCAGAGAGAAGGCCAAUGGAGCUCUGCAGGAAGGAAGCAGCACUGCUGACAGCCCCAUUCACAGGGGACUGGGCUUUGCUGCACUCCCACAGCCCCUCCAGUGGGCAGGCACAGACAGCUCUUUACACUGUGCCAUAUAACUCACACCUUCCACAGGCUCUUGGCAGAAAGAGCAACUGGAGAAACAGCACAGUCCCCACGGGCAGAGCACAAGAGCUCAGCUGUACCAAAGUGCCAGUACCUACAGCCUCCAUGCCCCAGCAGCUUUGCCCUUCAUUCCUCAGCACAAAGCCCAGGGGAUAUUUCGUGCAGGAGACAGAGGAGUUUCUCAGACUCACACAGCCCCUCACAGGGAGUGUUUCUGUUCCUUCUCAGCCAGCCCAUUCACCACUGGCACCAUUUAUCCACAUACCUUGAUCUUGCCCUCCAGGAACUUGUUACAGAACUCUUUGAUCUUGUCUGCUGUCAGCUCAUCAGAUUCAGGUUUGUAUUUGGUCAUCUCUUCCUCCAGGGUGAUCAGACGUACAGCUGGGCACUCUUCCUUCUUUAGGCCAAAGAA